GACGAACGCUGGCGGCGUGCUUAACACAUGCAAGUCGAGCGGUAAGGCCCUUUACGGGGGUACACGAGCGGCGAACGGGUGAGUAACACGUGGGUGACCUGCCCUCAGCUCUGGGAUAAGCCUAGGAAACCGGGUCUAAUACUGGAUAUGACUCCAUGACGUCAUGUUGUGGGGUGAAAGCCUUGUGCGGCUGAGGAUGGGCCCG
RNAcentral lists this ribosomal RNA (205 nucleotides) under uncultured bacterium. RNAcentral describes it as "partial 16S ribosomal RNA". It matches the Rfam family "Bacterial small subunit ribosomal RNA", at positions 28 to 233 of the family's 1533-position model. The record is from RNAcentral.